UGAGUUUGAUCAUGGCUCAGGACGAACGCUGGCGGCGUGCCUAACACAUGCAAGUCGAACGAGGUAUAUUUUUCGGAAUAUACUAAGUGGCGGACGGGUGAGUAACGCGUGAACAAUCUGCCCUGUACAAAGGAAUAGCCUCGGGAAACCGGGAUUAAAACCGUAUAACACUUUAGUAUCGCAUGAUACAGAAGUCAAAUAUUUAUAGGUAUGGGAUGAGUUCGCGUCUGAUUAGCUAGUUGGUAAGGUAAUGGCUUACCAAGGCGACGAUCAGUAGCCGGCCUGAGAGGGUGAACGGCCACACUGGAACUGAGACACGGUCCAGACUCCUACGGGAGGCAGCAGUGGGGAAUAUUGCACAAUGGAGGAAACUCUGAUGCAGCGACGCCGCGUGAGUGAAGAAGGUCUUCGGAUCGUAAAACUCUGUCCUUGGUGAAGAUAAUGACGGUAGCCAAGGAGGAAGCCCCGGCUAACUACGUGCCAGCAGCCGCGGUAAUACGUAGGGGGCGAGCGUUGUCCGGAUUUACUGGGUGUAAAGGG
RNAcentral lists this ribosomal RNA (540 nucleotides) under uncultured bacterium. RNAcentral describes it as "bacterial SSU rRNA". It matches the Rfam family "Bacterial small subunit ribosomal RNA", at positions 1 to 567 of the family's 1533-position model. The record is from RNAcentral.